Molecule: ribosomal RNA, 371 nt
Filed under: uncultured organism
Description: bacterial SSU rRNA
Rfam family: Bacterial small subunit ribosomal RNA
Source: RNAcentral
CGAAGGGGGCGAGCGUUGUUCGGAGUUACUGGGCGUAAAGGGCGCGUAGGCGGCGAUCCAAGUUAGGCGUGAAAGCCCCGGGCUUAACCUGGGAAUUGCGCUUAAGACUGGACUGCUUGAGUGCGGGAGAGGUGAGUGGAAUUCCCAGUGUAGAGGUGAAAUUCGUAGAUAUUGGGAAGAACACCAGUGGCGAAGGCGGCUCACUGGCCCGCAACUGACGCUGAGGCGCGAAAGCGUGGGGAGCAAACAGGAUUAGAUACCCUGGUAGUCCACGCUGUAAACGAUGAGCGCUAGACGUUGGGGAACUCGGUUCCUUGGUGUCGCAGCUAACGCAUGAAGCACUCCGCCUGGGGAGUACGGCCGCAAGGUUA